Molecule: unclassified non-coding RNA, 200 nt
Filed under: soil metagenome
Description: partial contains internal transcribed spacer 2 and large subunit ribosomal RNA
Source: RNAcentral
GCCUGUUCGAGCGUCAUGACUAGAUCAGACCUAUGGUUUGGUGUUGGGCUUCGCCUCCACCGGCGGGCCCGAAAGUCUGUGGCGACCCCGUCCGGCUUCGAGCGCAGUGAAACACAUCGCUUUGGAGGCCCAGAUGGACGUCGCCAGCGACCCCCCAAUCAGUUGACCUCGGAUCAGGUAGGGAUACCCGCUGAACUUAA